CGGACCUCGCCUUUCCCACUUGGUUAGAGUCGGCUCUGCCGGGAAAAAGCGAUUCCAGAAUUCCCUAAGUUAAAGGAAUUUCUUACUCCUUCUUGAGCGCCAUCCAAGGGCCAGGCCUUAGUCUAGGAACUGGCAACACGGUAGCGACCACGUCAGACAAGAUCGCUGCCCUCAUUGAGUUACCAGGUUGGCAGGGGAAACAAAAAUGUAAUAAAUAACUGCACUUUGCAAGAAGAGCUAUGAAGAAAAAACAGGGUGAUGGGAGAGAGAAUGCUUGGAUGUUGAAGGGAGGCCUUUCUGAGAUGGCGACGUCUUGAGCUGAGUAAAGAAGGAUGAGAAAGGAUGGGGCUUGCAAAGUUCUGGCUUCAAAGAAUUCCAGGCAGAGGGAACAAGAGUGAAGUCUCCAGGGGAAGCCAGCUUAGUGUUUGGAGACUAGAAAGAAGGGGUGUGCGGCUGGAAGAUGGGAUGAGAAAACUAAAAAUCCAGGGGGAUUUUAGCAACUUGCCUACCUCACACAACUAGCAGCAGAGCCAGGAUUUUAACCCAGACAGUUCCAGGGCUCAGGUCCUUACCCUCUGGGCUGGCCUUCCCCCUCCACUGCCCCCGAUACCCUCACUUUUCUGAACAUUGGACUCAUUCCUGUAGCUGGAGGUAGAGGAUGGAAACUCAAAAGAUGAUUGAAGAUUAAAAAACAAGAUGAUUGAGGCUGGACUUCUCAAAACCUUGCUGCAGCCUGAGCUUGAGUGU
Molecule: non-coding RNA, 747 nt
Filed under: Pan troglodytes (chimpanzee)
Lineage: Eukaryota; Metazoa; Chordata; Mammalia; Primates; Hominidae
Source: RNAcentral